AGAGAUUAUAAAAGAAGUGGUGAGUAGGACUCCUCUUGGUCGUGUUGGAGAGCCCAAUGAAGUUGCAUCACUUGUGGCUUUCUUGUGUCUACCUGCCGCUUCAUAUAUUACUGGUCAGAGCAUUUGUAUUGAUGGAGGUCUCACUGUUAAUGGCUUCUCCUAUCAGCCAAAAGACAUUUGAAUCUCUUUAUUUAAGGGUACUUUUCUCAUUUCCUAAUAUGCCAAAAGACAUCAAAGUGGCAUUUCUAGAAAGGAAUAAUCAAAAGUGGCAGUUUGGUUGAGUUUAAUUUCAAAAGUGGCACUUCCAAUAAAAUUUGUCUAAAGAAACUAAGCAUUACCUUAUAAAGUCAUACAAUGGGUGGUUAGCUUUGAGGGUAUUGGUAAAACAAGAAACCUUGCAAGAAGAUGUUUCCUAUAACACAGAGUAAGCCUUGCAAAAAACAAAGUAUGAAAAAGCAUGUCACAGCUUAGACUCAAACAAAAAAGAUGGGGCUUCGACACUCAUCAACUUAUGAAUCUUAGUCGAUCAAGUCCAAAAGACUUUUGGAAAACACAAAAAAUGUGUUUAUAAAAUUUGUGAACCAUAUUGACUACUUAUCUUACACAUACUUAAGUCAUUGUUCUCUCACACGACUACAUAAUAUUUCCACCACACAUACAAAUUCACACUUAUCUUAUAGAAAUUCAUUGUAUACAUAAGAUCAGUGGCAUUUCUAGUCACUGCAAGUAAAAAUUAAAAGAAAAAAUGGAUAAAAGAUGGAGUCUUCAAGGUAUGACUGCUCUUGUGACCGGUGGCACUAAAGGAAUCGGGUCAGUCCCUAUUUGUAUAUGCUCUUUUAUUGUAUUGUGAUAUGUCUAGUAGGUAUGGAAGAAGAAACCAAGUCACUUACUAUGUUUGUUUGUGUCGUGAAUAGGAAAGCUGUGGUGGAGGAACUAUCAAUGCUGGGAGCAAGAGUCCACACAUGUGCAAGAGAUGAAACUCAGCUUCAAGAACGAUUACGUGAAUGGCAAGCAAAAGGGUUUCAGGUUUCCACUUCUAUCUGCGAUGUUUCUUCCCGUGAGCAACGAGAGAAACUCAUGGAAACCGUUUCCUCUCUCUUCCAAGGAAAACUCAACAUUUUGGUAAGUAUACAUAUAUAAGCUUCUCCUUAUUAGGCUUGGGAUGUACAAGAACCAAAUUUAAUGUUUUGUUUUGUUUUGUAUCUAUCUAUCUAUCUAUACAUAUAUAGGUAAACAAUGUAGGAAACUUUAUAGUCAAGCCGACUACAGAGUUUACAGGAGAAGAGUAUUCGUUCAUAAUGGCUACAAAUCUCGAGUCAGCUUUUCAUCUCUCACAACUCUCACACCCUUUGUUGAAAGCAUCAACCUCAGGGAGCAUCGUGCUCAUGUCCUCCAUUACUGGAUUAGUGCAUGCCAAUGUUGGAUCCAUCCAAGGAGUAACCAAAGGUACUGUAUAUACUCUUUUGAAACAAUGUUUCCUUGCGUUAUGAUUCUUAUGCAAGUAUAUACAAACACAUUUCAGGAGCCAUGAAUCAGCUGGCUAGAAACUUAGCUUGCGAAUGGGCGGAAGAUAGCAUUAGGACUAAUGCUGUUUGCCCAUGGUAUAUAGCAACUCCUUUAGCUAAAGAUGUAAGGCCUAUUUUCUUCUUAAUUAGUAGUUUAGUACUACUGACUUUAAUAUUACUUUUGUCCAUUUGUUACUUUUGAUUUUAAGUUUCAAGUAUUGUGAAAAUAUGAUAGCUUCUUGAAGAAGGAGAGAUUAAAAAAGAAGUGAUAAGUAGAACUCCACUUGGUCGUGUUGGAGAGCCGAAUGAAGUUGCAUCACUUGUGGCUUUCUUGUGUCUACCUGCAGCUUCAUAUAUUACUGGUCAGAGCAUUUGCGUUGAUGGUGGUCUCACUGUUAAUGGCUUCUCCUAUCAGCCAAAAGACUUUUGAUUCUCUUUAUUUAAGGGUACUUUUCUCAUUUCCUGAUAUGCCAAAAGACGUAAAAGUGGCAGUUUUGUUGAGUUUUAUUUCAAAAGUGGCACUUCCAACAAAAUUCUCUCUAAAGAAACUAAGCAUUACCUUAUAAAGUCAUACAAUGAAUGUAUGUAAAACAAGAAACCUUGCAAGAAGAUGUUUCCUAUAACACAGAGUAAGC
RNAcentral lists this long non-coding RNA (2140 nucleotides) under Capsella rubella. Its description in RNAcentral is "long non-coding RNA (CRUB_LNC003227)". The record is from RNAcentral. Lineage: Eukaryota; Viridiplantae; Streptophyta; Magnoliopsida; Brassicales; Brassicaceae.